This 253-nucleotide ribosomal RNA is filed under the name uncultured bacterium. Its description in RNAcentral is "partial 16S ribosomal RNA". It matches the Rfam family "Bacterial small subunit ribosomal RNA", at positions 524 to 776 of the family's 1533-position model. The record is from RNAcentral.
UACGGGGGGGGCAAGCGUUGUUCGGAAUUACUGGGCGUAAAGGGCUCGUAGGCGGCCAACUAAGUCAGACGUGAAAUCCCUCGGCUUAACCGAGGAACUGCGUCUGAUACUGGAUGGCUUGAAUCCGGGAGAGGGAUGUGGAAUUCCAGGUGUAGCGGUGAAAUGCGUAGAUAUCUGGAGGAACACCGGUGGCGAAGGCGCUCAUCUGGCCCAAUACUGACGCUGAGGCGCGAAAGCCAGGGGAGCAAACGGG